GACGAACGCUGGCGGCGUGCUUAACACAUGCAAGUCGAACGGAAAGGCCCUGCUUUUGUGGGGUGCUCGAGUGGCGAACGGGUGAGUAACACGUGAGUAACCUGCCCUUGACUUUGGGAUAACUUCAGGAAACUGGGGCUAAUACCGGAUAGGAGCUCCUGCUGCAUGGUGGGGGUUGGAAAGUUUCGGCGGUUGGGGAUGGACUCGCGGCUUAUCAGCUUGUUGGUGGGGUAGUGGCUUACCAAGGCUUUGACGGGUAGCCGGCCUGAGAGGGUGACCGGACACAUUGGGACUGAGAUACGGCCCAGACUACUACGGGAGGCAGAAGUGGGGAAUAGUGCACAAUGGGCGGAAGCAUGAUGCAGCAAAGCAGCGUGCGGGAUGACGGCCUGCGGGUUGUAAACCGCUUUCGCCUGUGACGAAGCGUGAGUGACGGUAAUGGGUAAAGAAGCACCGGCUAACUACGUG
RNAcentral lists this ribosomal RNA (468 nucleotides) under uncultured bacterium. RNAcentral's name for it is "partial 16S ribosomal RNA". It matches the Rfam family "Bacterial small subunit ribosomal RNA", at positions 28 to 507 of the family's 1533-position model. The record is from RNAcentral.